This 252-nucleotide ribosomal RNA is filed under the name uncultured bacterium. RNAcentral describes it as "partial 16S ribosomal RNA". It matches the Rfam family "Bacterial small subunit ribosomal RNA", at positions 524 to 776 of the family's 1533-position model. The record is from RNAcentral.
UACGAAGGGGGCUAGCGUUGUUCGGAAUACUGGGCGUAAAGCGCGCGCAGGCGGUCCUUCAAGUCAGGGGUGAAAGCCCAGGGCUCAACCCUGGAAUGGCCUUUGAGACUAGAGGACUUGGGUACGGGAGAGGUGAGUGGAAUUCCGAGUGUAGAGGUGAAAUUCGUAGAUAUUCGGAAGAACACCAGUGGCGAAGGCGGCUCACUGGCCCGUUACCGACGCUCAGGCGCGACAGCGCGGGGAGCAAACAGG